GGGUGAGUAACGCGUGGGUAACCUGCCUCAUACAGGGGGAUAACAGUUGGAAACGGCUGCUAAUACCGCAUAAGCGCACAGUACCGCAUGGUACGGUGUGAAAAACUCCGGUGGUAUGAGAUGGACCCGCGUCUGAUUAGGUAGUUGGUGGGGUAACGGCCUACCAAGCCGACGAUCAGUAGCCGACCUGAGAGGGUGACCGGCCACAUUGGGACUGAGACACGGCCCAA
Molecule: ribosomal RNA, 230 nt
Filed under: uncultured bacterium
Lineage: Bacteria
Description: partial 16S ribosomal RNA
Rfam family: Bacterial small subunit ribosomal RNA
Source: RNAcentral